CGUCCAUCGCGGGUGCACGUGACUCUAGCCCCGCCCCCUUCCCGUCAUCCUUUCUGCUCGCGCCGGGACGUUCACUCAGGGCGUCAGACGCCGGGGCGUGCUGUUCCAGCCGGUGCGGGCCGCUGGCUGUGUCCGCCUGAGCUGAGGUGCCUGGCAGUGCUGGCCCAUCACAGAUGCUCAGUCAUCAGUUAUUGAUACCUGAGUCCACCAGCCAGGCCGUCGUUUGCCUGAGGAAAUCCAGUCCCUGAGAUGAAGGCGGCAGCUUCUGUUUACGUAUGACCCUACAGCUGCUCUGCACCCUGACCCAGGAUAUCCCUGCAACCUAUGCAAACUGAGGUCCAGCCCUGCUGCUGGCCCAUCCAGGCCCCGGGGAAGGAACCCUCAUCCUGGCUGCCCUCACCGUGGCCUGUCCAGAUGCAGGAGCUCCUCUCUGAAUCUGGGGCUACUGGCAGCCCCUCAGCCAGUGGGCAGCACACAGCCACCCAAACACAAGAGGCCAGGACCAUGGACACCAGGGGGCACAGAGCCCAGGCCUCCGUGAUCCUAGGAACGUGCAGCAUCCGGGACAUGCAGAGGAAAGAUGGAGACGUGGGGUGAGAGGAAGCUGAGCAGGGACGCAGGCCCCCCUCGCAUCACAGGCCUGCCUGGCCAGAACGACCUGCAGCAAGAAGCCAACCCAGCUGCUCCUGUCCCUGAAAAGCCCGGAGAGAGGGCUAGCAGGGAGGCUGGUGCCUGGGUCAAGAGAGGGGCUACUCAGUUCUUCCAGAACGUUCCAGCGUGGCCCAUGGACGCCAGUCUUCUGGUGUCCAUUCCGUCCUGUGUCACUUCAGUUGAUGGGCUGCUUGAGACCAGAACCGCCCGAAUCCAGAACCGCCCACUACCUUCUGUGAGGCUGUGGCCAGAAAGCGAGCCAGACCUCUGAAGCUGCCUGGGCCCGUCCUGACCCAGGAGAGUCUGGCUGUGAAGGAGGGUAAAGGAGGAAGCCAGGCCUGGCACAGGGACAGGGUGGGGACCCAGUGAGAUCUCCAGGGAGGAAGCCAGGGCUCCCACACUGGGGCUGCUGUUCUCCAGGAGGAACUCCACCCAAGGAGAGUUUGGGAUUGUCAUGAGAGACAGGACUGUGUUUGUGCACAGUGCAGAGCAUCAGGUACCAGCCGGGGGCCUCAGGCCCCAGGGAAGAGAGUCACCCACCAGGCCAACUAGGAAAGGUGAAAGGUGAAAGGUGAGUGCCCCUACGGCAGAAAGCAAAGCUGAGACAGCAUCGCCAGCUGAGGGAGAAACUGACAGAUGGCAGUUCACCAAAACCCAGAAACUGGUCAUUCUCUGGCCUUUAACAAACCAAAGUGUAUUUCUCUCUCUGAAAUAAGAAACACAGGACAAUUAUUAAGUUCCAAAA
This is a non-coding RNA of Macaca mulatta (Rhesus monkey), 1396 nucleotides long. NCBI's taxonomy places the organism in Eukaryota, Metazoa, Chordata, Mammalia, Primates, Cercopithecidae. The record is from RefSeq and is a predicted model, not a curated record.